Molecule: long non-coding RNA, 918 nt
Filed under: Sorghum bicolor (sorghum)
Lineage: Eukaryota; Viridiplantae; Streptophyta; Magnoliopsida; Poales; Poaceae
Description: long non-coding RNA (SBIC_LNC002020)
Source: RNAcentral
GUUGACUGUUUUUUUUAGUGCCAUUCUGUGCUUGAAUGUUUUCUGACAAGCACUCCUAUGUAGGAUUUUUUAGUGCCAUUUGCUUGAAUGUUUUCUGACAAUUACUCAUGUUCAGGAUUCUAUAGAGAUUUAUCGAUACAUACUCGCAAGUUAAUGGAAAAUGAAAUACUUUUCUGGCUUUCUCUUGCAGGAAAUGAGAGAAGGUAGGAAAUGUAUAGCAACUUCCAUUUGCUGUCAGCACGCACCUUGAUUUAUUGGACACAUGAUUCAUCCAAUCUGGGUAUCACGUUGAUCUUUGGUUAAACUUGCAUGUGCUUCCGUUCCUUGAUUUUGGAUGGAGGGUUUGCGGCAUUUCAUUUAUUGAUGCCAAUUUGUAUUUGCAGGACUUUUCAAGAGGUGGGCAGUUGUUAAUAUAACCUAUUUUCAAUUUUAAUUUCUUCAACCUUGAUCUGGAAGGUAUUUUCUUUAAUAAUGUAGUAAAAAAUGAUGGAAUGCCAUGUUAGAAUUGCUUGGAUUACUUCUAAGUUCGAUUUAGAUUAGUCAUGUGCAAGGGUACAAAUUGGAUUAUUCGUAGGUCAUGUUUAUAUCAUAUAUGUGUCCAUAACUCCUGAAAAUACAGGCCUACGAGGCAUUAGAAUAAGCUCUUGCUUCCUUUCGACCAGCCAUUCGCAUCCAAAAGAACCCAACCAGGUCCCUCACCCUGUACUAAAAAAAAGGUUAAAAUGCUUUGAUCAUUAAUUUAAACCUAGCACCAACUGACAUAGAAGAUAUGUCUUCGUCCAAUUUUAUAUUGAUUCAAACUCUUUUUUUUUUGCUUAGGCCACCAACAGGAAUUCUUCUGCCACUUUAAAGCCAGGACUCGGCAGCCACAAACAUGAGUGCUAACUUUCAGGGAAGGAUGCUGUACUUGAGCAUUUU